Molecule: long non-coding RNA, 457 nt
Organism: Hippocampus comes (tiger tail seahorse)
Lineage: Eukaryota; Metazoa; Chordata; Actinopteri; Syngnathiformes; Syngnathidae
Exons: 2
Source: RefSeq, a predicted model, not a curated record
ACGUUCUUAUCAUUUUGGUGAACUGGAUCUGAACACGGUGUCGCUGUCGCAACGAUAUUCAGCCGACUGCAUGGGCUACUACGCGUCUGCGGGAAGCAUCAGCUUCUGCUGAGCGUGACACUCGGCCGUCACACUGGAAUGGUGCUCUGAGGGAUUUUGUCCAGGUGGCGACAGCAGAGGCUGUCGUUUCCCCUUCUGAAAAACAUUUUGAGGCCAAAGAGAGGGCGACCCCUGAAUGGCAGCGCGGAAUUCAGACAAACCAAAAUCAUGUAAACAACAAUUUAACCUCCUUGGCAGAGUGGACUUAUUAUCUAACUGUGAUUUGGGAGCUCGCGUGGACUUGAUACAGACUAUUUUGAUCUCUGUGUUGGCUUCACCUGAAGUCCCACUUGGAAUUGCCGCAUGACCCAGAUUGAGUCCCAACUUUAGCAUCCAGCUGUCAGUGAUGAGUUUUCUC